This 497-nucleotide ribosomal RNA is filed under the name uncultured bacterium. RNAcentral describes it as "partial 16S ribosomal RNA". It matches the Rfam family "Bacterial small subunit ribosomal RNA", at positions 28 to 507 of the family's 1533-position model. The record is from RNAcentral.
GAUGAACGCUGGCGGCGUGCCUAAUACAUGCAAGUCGAGCGAACGGACGAGAAGCUUGCUUCUCUGAUGUUAGCGGCGGACGGGUGAGUAACACGUGGAUAACCUACCUAUAAGACUGGGAUAACUUCGGGAAACCGGAGCUAAUACCGGAUAAUAUUUUGAACCGCAUGGUUCUAAAGUGAAAGACGGUCUUGCUGUCACUUAUAGAUGGAUCCGCGCUGCAUUAGCUAGUUGGUAAGGUAACGGCUUACCAAGGCAACGAUGCAUAGCCGACCUGAGGGGGUGAUCGGCCCCACUGGAACUGAGACACGGUCCAGACUCCUACGGGAGGCAGCAGUAGGGAAUCUUCCGCAAUGGGCGAAAGCCUGACGGAGCAACGCCGCGUGAGUGAUGAAGGUCUUCGGAUCGUAAAACUCUGUUAUUAGGGAAGAACAUAUGUGUAAGUAACUGUGCACAUCUUGACGGUACCUAAUCAGAAAGCCACGGCUAACUACGUG